CAGAUUGCAGAGAACUUGAUCAAACGCCUUCAUGCAAUUGUUCCUUGAUGGGAACUUGUGACAUCAUGCCAAGUGAUGCUAAAGUUAACAUAUCUACAGCACCAGAUGACAUACAGCCAACACAACAGUGUCUAGUUCAUUGUCAAAAGAAAUGUUUCUGUGCCUCCUUUGUUAAAAAGAUCUAGCAAUGUGACGAGAGAGGCCUUAAAGUACAAAGAGCGCUCUUCAACUGUGUCUGCUGAAUAAAUGCGUCUGUGCAAUCACUACUGGCAGCUGAGAUGAGGUGUAGAAUGUUGACAAAAAGCUCACAUCCAGGCAGUAAGUUGGUAAGGACAGACUGGAGCUACUGUUGCCUUUCUCAUUUUUUUUUUUCUUUGUCUCCUGUACAUCUCCCAUGAACAUUUGCUUGAGGUUAUCCUGUCAAGCUACUGUUUGCUGCAUGAAAAGGACACAUCUGCUGCUCAAGAUCUGCUACGUCAUUUUGCUCCACAAGAUGAGACUUUGUUGGGAUAGUUACGUAAAGUGAUCGUGUUGGUGAGUUUUACAUUUGUUUGUGUCUACACCAUUCAAGCAUACCACGGAUUCAACCAGAUUCGUCAAUCCUCAGACAUGAUCAGAACGCCACUUUGGUAAGU
Bombina bombina (fire-bellied toad) is the source of this 635-nucleotide long non-coding RNA. RefSeq lists it as uncharacterized. Lineage: Eukaryota; Metazoa; Chordata; Amphibia; Anura; Bombinatoridae. The record is from RefSeq and is a predicted model, not a curated record. The transcript is spliced from 3 exons.